RNAcentral lists this ribosomal RNA (819 nucleotides) under uncultured Bacteroidota bacterium. RNAcentral describes it as "bacterial SSU rRNA". It matches the Rfam family "Bacterial small subunit ribosomal RNA", at positions 49 to 859 of the family's 1533-position model. The record is from RNAcentral. Lineage: Bacteria; Pseudomonadati; Bacteroidota.
UUACACAUGCAGUCGAGGGGUAACAGGGAGUGCUUGCACUCUGCUGACGACCGGCGCACGGGUGCGUAACGCGUAUGCAACCUACCUUUUACAGGGGGAUAGUCAAGAGAAAUUUUGAAUAAUACCCCAUACGAUCCUGAUAUCACCUGAUAUUUGGAAGAAAACUUCGGUGGUAAAAGAUGGGCAUGCGUCCUAUUAGUUAGUUGGUGAGGUAACGGCUCACCAAGACAGCGAUAGGUAGGGGUCCUGAGAGGGAGAUCCCCCACACUGGUACUGAGACACGGACCAGACUCCUACGGGAGGCAGCAGUGAGGAAUAUUGGACAAUGGAGGUAACUCUGAUCCAGCCAUGCCGCGUGCAGGAAGACUGCCCUAUGGGUUGUAAACUGCUUUUAUACAGGAAGAAACCUACUUACGUGUAAGUAGCUGACGGUACUGUACGAAUAAGGAUCGGCUAACUCCGUGCCAGCAGCCGCGGUAAUACGGAGGAUCCAAGCGUUAUCCGGAAUUAUUGGGUUUAAAGGGUCCGUAGGUGGUUUGCUAAGUCAGAGGUGAAAUCCUACCGCUUAACGGUAGCACUGCCUUUGAUACUGGCAAACUUGAGUUAUUGUGAAGUAGUUAGAAUGUGUAGUGUAGCGGUGAAAUGCAUAGAUAUUACACAGAAUACCGAUUGCGAAGGCAGAUUACUAACAAUAUACUGACACUGAGGGACGAAAGCGUGGGUAGCGAACAGGAUUAGAUACCCUGGUAGUCCACGCCGUAAACGAUGGUCACUAGCUGUUUGACUAACAUUGGUUAGUUGAGUGGCUAAGCGAAAGUG